RNAcentral lists this ribosomal RNA (495 nucleotides) under uncultured bacterium. Its description in RNAcentral is "partial 16S ribosomal RNA". It matches the Rfam family "Bacterial small subunit ribosomal RNA", at positions 28 to 507 of the family's 1533-position model. The record is from RNAcentral.
GACGAACGCUGGCGGCGUGCCUAAUACAUGCAAGUCGAACGCUGAAGGAGGAGCUUGCUUCUCUGGAUGAGUUGCGAACGGGUGAGUAACGCGUAGGUAACCUGCCUGGUAGCGGGGGAUAACUAUUGGAAACGAUAGCUAAUACCGCAUAAUAGUAGAUGUUGCAUGACAUUUGCUUAAAAGGUGCAAUUGCAUCACUACCAGAUGGACCUGCGUUGUAUUAGCUAGUUGGUGGGGUAACGGCUCACCAAGGCGACGAUACAUAGCCGACCUGAGAGGGUGAUCGGCCACACUGGGACUUAGACACGGCCCAGACUCCUACGGGAGGCAGCAGGAGGGAAUCUUCGGCAAUGGACGGAAGUCUGACCGAGCAACGCCGCGUGAGUGAAGAAGGUUUUCGGAUCGGAAAGCUCUGUUGUAAGAGAAGAACGAGUGUGAGAGUGGAAAGUUCACACUGUGACGGUAUCUUACCAGAAAGGGACGGCUAACUACGUG